Hypanus sabinus (Atlantic stingray) is the source of this 376-nucleotide long non-coding RNA. RefSeq lists it as uncharacterized. The record is from RefSeq and is a predicted model, not a curated record. The transcript has 3 exons. Lineage: Eukaryota; Metazoa; Chordata; Chondrichthyes; Myliobatiformes; Dasyatidae.
UGCAGAUCGCCAUGCUGCCUGCAUCAGAGAGGUCUCCCAGGUGUCGGGAGAGUGAAGGAGAUGUGCAGUUGAAUGUACCUUUAGGUCCCGGCAAGAUGAUGUGAGUCGAGCAAAUGUCAGAGGCCGUGCGGUGAAUUGACAGACUGUACAACUGUAGAAGUAUGAGCACGAAUGAACAUUUCUUCACCCACUCAACUUCCAUUCUUCAAGUUGUUUUCAACCUGCAAUGGAAAUCAGUGUUCUUAAAGGUAGCAUCCGUCAUUAAGGACCCCCCGUCACCCAGGACAUGCCUUGGUUUCAUUGCUACCAUUGGGGAGGAGGUACAGGAGCCUGAAGGCAGACACUCAACGAUUCAGGAACAACUUCUUCCCCUCUG